Molecule: ribosomal RNA, 426 nt
Filed under: uncultured bacterium
Lineage: Bacteria
Description: bacterial SSU rRNA
Rfam family: Bacterial small subunit ribosomal RNA
Source: RNAcentral
GUGAGGAAUUUUCCGCAAUGGGCGAAAGCCUGACGGAGCAAUGCCGCGUGAAGGAUGAAGGCCUAUGGGUUGUAAACUUCUUUUCUCAGAAAAGAAUUAUGACGGUAUCUGAGGAAUAAGCAUCGGCUAACUCUGUGCCAGCAGCCGCGGUAAGACAGAGGAUGCAAGCGUUAGCCGGAAUGAUUGGGCGUAAAGCGUCUGUAGGUUGUUUAAAAAGUAUUCUGUCAAAGAUUAGGGCUUAACUCUAGAUAGGCAGAAUAAACUUUUAAGCUAGAGUUUGGUAGAGGCAGAGGGAAUUCCCGGUGAAGCGGUGAAAUGCGUAGAUAUCGGGAGGAACACCAAAGGCGAAGGCACUCUGCUGGGCCAAUACUAACACUGAGAGACGAAAGCGAGGGGAGCAAAUGGGAUUAGAAACCCGGGUAGUCC